Molecule: long non-coding RNA, 534 nt
Filed under: Setaria italica (foxtail millet)
Lineage: Eukaryota; Viridiplantae; Streptophyta; Magnoliopsida; Poales; Poaceae
Description: long non-coding RNA (SITA_LNC006493)
Source: RNAcentral
UCCGUUCUCCUUUCUUUGUUUUUUUGCUGCCCUCCCUGUUCUUUCCUUCCUCCGUUCCUCGUCCCGCUGAAUUCUGCAAAUCAGAUCCGGUUCUGCGUAGACAUGCAGACGAUUCUGGCAGCUGGAGAUGUUUGCCAUGCCAUUUCUUGCCUUCCUUUGCAUGAGUUGGUGGCUGCCGCAUAUUUCAUUCUACGUUUCUACAUUUAGCAUGCCUUGGGUGCUCAAGAUCUGACCUUUCCCGGCAGACGUAUACUCCGUCGUAUAUUUAACACGAACAGAGUCCACGUGGGGGAGGAAAAAAACCACCAAGAUAUCUCACUCUGAUCUGAAAAAAUAUGGCAAAAGACUAUGAAUUCGUAAAAGCAAUUAAAAUUGACGAAGAGGAUGAGUGCACCGACAAAAAUUCUGCUCACCUGCUGACUGACGAUGUGUUCUCUUCUCUGGGAUGUCAGCUGGUCCGCUGCCGAAGCACAACGGCGUCAGCUGGAGGGGCAAUUCCUGCAUGAAGGAUGGCCUUUCUGACAGCACCACCCG